CCUACGGGAGGCAGCAGUGAGGAAUAUUGGUCAAUGGUCGGGAGACUGAACCAGCCAAGCCGCGUGAGGGAGGAAGGUACAGAGUAUCGUAAACCUCUUUUGUCAGGGAACAAAGACUGGGACGCGUCCCCGGUUGAGUGUACCUGAAGAAAAAGCAUCGGCUAACUCCGUGCCAGCAGCCGCGGUAAUACGGAGGAUGCGAGCGUUAUCCGGAUUGAUUGGGUUUAAGGGGUGCGCAGGCGGUCUGUUAUGUCAGCGGUCAAAGCCCGGGGAUCAACCCAGACCCGCCGUUGAAACUGGCAGUCUCGAGUUGGAGAGAGGUAUGCGGAAUGCGCGGUGUAGCGGUGAAAUGCAUAGAUAUCUCGCAGAACUCCGAUGGCGAAGGCAGCAUGCCGGCUCCACACUGACGCUGAGGCACGAAAGCGUGGGGAGCGAACAGGAUUAGAUACCCGAGUAGUC
This 459-nucleotide ribosomal RNA is filed under the name uncultured bacterium. Its description in RNAcentral is "partial 16S ribosomal RNA". It matches the Rfam family "Bacterial small subunit ribosomal RNA", at positions 338 to 795 of the family's 1533-position model. The record is from RNAcentral.